CCUGGCUCAGGACGAACGCUAGCGGCAGGCUUAAUACAUGCAAGUCGAACGGCAAGGGCAGCAAUGCCCCUAGAGUGGCGCACGGGUGCGUAACGCGUAUUCAACGUACUUCAUAGUCUGGGAUAGCCUCUGGAAACGGAGAUUAAUACCGGAUAGGGCAGGGAUCCCACCUGGGAAUAUUGCUAAAGAUUAAUCGCUAUGAAAUCGGGAUGCGUCCCAUUAGCUAGUUGGUAGGGUAACGGCCUACCAAAGCUCCGAUGGGUAACUGGUCUGAGAGGAUGAUCAGUCACACGGACACUGAGACACGGGUCCGACUCCUACGGGAGGCAGCAGUAAGGAAUAUUGGACAAUGGGCGAAAGCCUGAUCCAGCCAUGCCGCGUGGAGGAAGAAGGCCCUCUGGGUCGUAAACUCCUUUUAUCCAGGGCUAAAAUGGGGCUAUACGCCGUAUUGAAGGUACUGGGGGAAUAAGCCACGGCUAACUACGUGCCAG
This 491-nucleotide ribosomal RNA is filed under the name uncultured bacterium. Its description in RNAcentral is "bacterial SSU rRNA". It matches the Rfam family "Bacterial small subunit ribosomal RNA", at positions 18 to 511 of the family's 1533-position model. The record is from RNAcentral.